AUAUUUUGAACCGCAUGGUUCAAAAGUGAAAGACGGUCUUGCUGUCACUUAUAGAUGGAUCCGCGCUGCAUUAGCUAGUUGGUAAGGUAACGGCUUACCAAGGCAACGAUGCAUAGCCGACCUGAGAGGGUGAUCGGCCACACUGGAACUGAGACACGGUCCAGACUCCUACGGGAGGCAGCAGUAGGGAAUCUUCCGCAAUGGGCGAAAGCCUGACGGAGCAACGCCGCGUGAGUGAUGAAGGUCUUCGGAUCGUAAAACUCUGUUAUUAGGGAAGAACAUAUGUGUA
Molecule: ribosomal RNA, 289 nt
Filed under: Staphylococcus aureus
Lineage: Bacteria; Bacillati; Bacillota; Bacilli; Caryophanales; Staphylococcaceae
Description: partial 16S ribosomal RNA
Rfam family: Bacterial small subunit ribosomal RNA
Source: RNAcentral